Long non-coding RNA from Rhea pennata, 3073 nucleotides. RefSeq lists it as uncharacterized. The transcript is spliced from 3 exons. NCBI's taxonomy places the organism in Eukaryota, Metazoa, Chordata, Aves, Rheiformes, Rheidae. The record is from RefSeq and is a predicted model, not a curated record.
GCCGGCCCUCGCCCGCCGCGGCCCUCCCGCCGCCGCCCGCCGCGCCUCACCACGAGACUACGUGACUUCCUAAGAAUGAGCGUUGAAUUGUUUGGGCAGGUUUCCUUCUGGAGGUGAUAAACGUUCAGGGUAACUCCCAGAGCAUAGAGGAGGCAAGCAUGGUGAAGGAGAAUCAGAUGAACACACUCGCUGCAAGGAAUCCUCACCUCCAAAGAGCUUAAAUAUCUUUAGAUGAUAUUUUAGCUAUGUCUUCAUUCCCUGAUAAUGGAGAUGGAAAGAGAACUGCAGUAGUUUCACAUAGAGAGGUCACUUUUGGGGAGGAGACAUGACAGGUAGAGUUGAUCAACCCUGCUUGGAUCUGGGAAGAAUACGUAGCAUGAAAAUGAAGAAGGUGGAAAUGAGAAAUUCAGUUUGGCAGCGUAGCUCAGAGUUGCACGAGGCUAUUCUGCUUGUAAGAUCCCAGUGGGAUUCCCCUCGAUAAAAAUAAUUAAAGUGUGCACUGACCAGUACGUGUCACACAAUUCUCUUCACUACCACCUAGCGGGAAACUCCUUCAUUAACUGAGCUCCAGUGCUGCCCCUGCUCUCCAGCCUCACCCUGGUGAGGGAAACGGAGUAAGCAAAGAAGGGGGAGAUGGAUGAAUGAGAAGGAGGAGCAAGUCCUGCUUCCUGUACAGGAAGAGUGUAGAGAUAACAUUGCUAAUAUGUAGAGAUUGCAGCCUAUAAUUUAUACCCCUAAGGUCGGUGCGCUAUCACACCUUGCCUUCUAGCUCUGCAUCCAGUGCAGUUCUUAAUGGCUAGUACACUGUAGCCCUUGCUCCCCGGGGAGAUUCCUAAAGCUUAACAAAUGUCAUCUUUGCAGAUGGAGGAGUAAAACAUUUGUUCUUCUGAAUGCAACUGCACCCUGCAAAGAGCAGGAAGGAGAAAUGGGGGAAGGUGUUCUAGUGUCUGAAUCAGAAGGCAGGCUUGCCUUCUUCUCACCUCUCUCUUCAUCACUCUAAUGAUGAUUGUUCUAUCGAGGUCGGGGAAGAAGGCUACCAAGUAAAAACACUUAGCCCUUCUGUCAGGACAUAUUUGCUAUUAUAAUCACAUGUUUACAACAAGGACUACUACAUGAAAGUGUAAAAUGGGUAUGCAUUAAGAAUAUUUUAAUCACAUAUUCAAGUGAGUCCUUCCCUGCUGCGAUACUCGGAGUUUGCACAAACAGCUGAAAUCCAACCCUAUGAAAACAACAUACAAAUGACAAUUAUCUGGAAUUUUUCAGUCUCUUGCAUGCCACCUGGGACUGAGCUUCCAGGGCACAAAUAAUAAUCAGUUUUGGCACUUGUAUAGCUUUCUUUUAUCCAGUCAUAGAAAUAGGGGCAAACACGAUAACAGUAAUUCUCACAUUUUAAGGAGGGGGUGAUGUUAAUGUCAUUCAGGCCAAUAAAGCAUUUGGCAUUCUCAGCAGGAAGAACUGUAAAAUGGCAAGGAAUUAUUAAAGGAACCACUUCUAAAUAUUUCUUUUGCCAAUGGCAAUUUUAUCACCAUAUUCAUGGAACUAUAUAGGCUUCCUUUGCUAGGAACUGUAAUAUGAAAAUAUUUAGGUUUUUUUCUUUCUUCUCUGCACGUUCCUUGAAGUCAUGACAUUAGGCUCACUUUAUCGUAGGAAAUUACUAUAUUUUUCAAUAUGUAUACUUGAUGAUGGAUGUAAUUCAAUAAAUGAAGACAUUUAGAGUAACAAUUAUAUUGAUACAAGAGUCAGACUUUGGGAACCUAUAAUCCACCUGCAGUCCCAUUCACAUUACGCUGUUGUGCGACUAUUCAGCUGGUUUUGUUUUCAUGUAAUAAGCAGAAUGCAGACCAAUAUAUCUAAAAUAAGAAUAGUGUUCCUAUUAUAUACCCAUUUAUACUUUCUCAGAGUGGACCUCAUUAUUAAUUAAUCCACAGUUCAGCUACCUUAUUAAACGUUCUUGGGAGAAAGCAUUACAUUGGAACAAUUUACCAAGGCAGACUUACUAUUAAUCAAUGAAAUAGAGUAAAAUAGAGGAACAGAAGGCAUCUUUGCCUGGAAGCGAUUGGAGAAUGGCAACAACCCAGUUUUAUGAGAUAGCUGUCACACAGUGUUAUCGGACUUCCUACUACUUGAAGGGAAGUGAAGAAAAUUAUAACCAAAAGUAAAAUGCACAGACAUUGUAUUAAAAAGCGUAGGUAGCACAAUGCGAAGUAGUUGAACAUGUUUAAAUAAUCUUUAUUAAGCAAGCCACUAAAAUAGAAAACCUAUAAAGCUCAGAAGCUCAGACUCCUCAAGUGUGAUUACUAAUUGAUAUAUUUCUCCAAUUUGCAUCCAAACUGCUUUGGUAAUAAAACAUUUUUCCUGAGCUUUCUGUUAAACUUACCAAUUUGUUGUAAAGCUGCUGAUGUCUUGCUAUGGACAUAUUGAAUUUGAGGGGUCUCAACCACCAAACUGGUUAUGCUUGGAAAAAUAAAUUUGCAGGUGAAAAAAAAAAAAAAGAAUACAUAACCGGAUACUGCAGACCGACAUGAGAAGCAGGUAGGUAUCACUUGGGGCUUUCAUACUUCGAAAACUUCCUCUCUAUUACAGCUACCAACAUCGCAUUUUUCAGGGUGACUUCAGACAUGCACCAGGAAGUUUUCGCAAGUAAGAAAAUCAACAAAACCAACUGAUAUUGAAUGAAAAUGGGUAUAGCAAAACCAAGUCUUUUUCUUUUGAACGCUCCUUCUCAAGACAAAAUCCACAAGGCACAAUUUGGUUAUAGGAGUAUAUCGUUUGGAUUAUGGUACUCUAGAAUUUAGCUCCUGCUCUAGUACUAGAGCUACAAUCCAGGUGCUUAAAGCUUUGCAGCUUCCACCCCUGACUUCCACUACCCUUAUUACCUCGCAGCAGGACAGUGUGGCAAUUGUAAUAAUCUGAGAAAUUUGAGAUUGCAGUCCUCAGUGCCAACAUAUAAAACAGGGCUGCUGGUUAAUUCGUAGCAGUGGUCUCCUUCCUGCAUCUCAGUUGUUCCUUCUGAUAGCUAGCGAUUUGUAACAUCUGAGAAACACUUGUUUUCUUGCGUGAAAGAAUCUGAAUU